AGGCCAGACUCCUACGGGAGGCAGCAGUGGGGGAUAUUGCACAAUGGGGGGAACCCUGAUGCAGCGACGCCGCGUGAGUGAAGAAGUAUUUCGGUAUGUAAAGCUCUAUCAGCAGGGAAGAAAAUGACGGUACCUGACUAAGAAGCCCCGGCUAACUACGUGCCAGCAGCCGCGGUAAUACGUAGGGGGCAAGCGUUAUCCGGAUUUACUGGGUGUAAAGGGAGCGUAGACGGCAAUGCAAGUCUGGAGUGAAAGCCCAAGGCCCAACCAUGGGACUGCUCUGGAAACUGUGGAGCUAGAGUGCAGGAGAGGUAAGUGGAAUUCCUAGUGUAGCGGUGAAAUGCGUAGAUAUUAGGAGGAACACCAGUGGCGAAGGCGGCUUACUGGACUGUAACUGACGUUGAGGCUCGAAAGCGUGGGGAGCAAACAGGAUUAGAUACCCGUGUAAUU
This 450-nucleotide ribosomal RNA is filed under the name uncultured bacterium. RNAcentral describes it as "bacterial SSU rRNA". It matches the Rfam family "Bacterial small subunit ribosomal RNA", at positions 328 to 795 of the family's 1533-position model. The record is from RNAcentral.